UACGUAGGGCGCAAGCGUUAUCCGGAAUUAUUGGGUGUAAAGAGCUCGUAGGCGGUUUGUCGCGUCUGCCGUGAAAGUCCGGGGCUCAACUCCGGAUCUGCGGUGGGUACGGGCAGACUAGAGUGAUGUAGGGGAGACUGGAAUUCCUGGUGUAGCGGUGAAAUGCGCAGAUAUCAGGAGGAACACCGGUGGCGAAGGCGGUUCUCUGGGCAUUACCUGACGCUGAGGAGCGAAAGUGUGGGGAGCGAACAGG
This 253-nucleotide ribosomal RNA is filed under the name uncultured bacterium. RNAcentral describes it as "partial 16S ribosomal RNA". It matches the Rfam family "Bacterial small subunit ribosomal RNA", at positions 524 to 776 of the family's 1533-position model. The record is from RNAcentral.